UACGUAGGGUGCUAGCGUUAAUCGGAAUUACUGGGCGUAAAGCGUGCGCAGGCGGCUUUGCAAGUCAGAUGUGAAAUCCCCGGGCUCAACCUGGGAACUGCAUUUGUGACUGCAUGGCUAGAGUGCGGCAGAGGGGGAUGGAAUUCCGAGUGUAGCAGUGAAAUGCGUAGAUAUCAGGAGGAAUACCGAUGGCGAAGGCAGGUCUCUGGGCUGACACUGACGCUCAUGCACGAAAGCGUGGGGAGCAAACAGG
This 253-nucleotide ribosomal RNA is filed under the name uncultured bacterium. RNAcentral describes it as "partial 16S ribosomal RNA". It matches the Rfam family "Bacterial small subunit ribosomal RNA", at positions 524 to 776 of the family's 1533-position model. The record is from RNAcentral.